RNAcentral lists this unclassified non-coding RNA (260 nucleotides) under uncultured fungus. RNAcentral's name for it is "sequence contains ITS1". Lineage: Eukaryota; Fungi. The record is from RNAcentral.
GUAUAGUAUUUAAAGGUCAAAGACCAUUUAAAAGACAUUCAAAGACAAACAUAGGGUAGAUAUAAACAUAGACCACGAACUAUCAAGGGACAAGUCCCUCAAACCGCCAUUUUCAGGCGAGAGUUCAUUCGUGAUCUACAAAGGUUCACAGGUGGAAAAGUAGUAGAGACAAGUGGCGAGCACAUUACUCCGAAAAGCCAGCUACAACCAACUUGCAAAUACAUUCAAUAAUGAUCCUUCCGCAGGUUCACCUACGGAAA